This 243-nucleotide ribosomal RNA is filed under the name uncultured bacterium. RNAcentral's name for it is "partial 16S ribosomal RNA". It matches the Rfam family "Bacterial small subunit ribosomal RNA", at positions 94 to 334 of the family's 1533-position model. The record is from RNAcentral.
AGUGGCGGACGGGUGAGUAACGCGUGAGUAACCUGCCUUUCAGAGGGGAAUAACGUUCUGAAAAGAACGCUAAUACCGCAUAACGUACAGUUACCGCAUGGUAGCAGUACCAAAGGAGCAAUCCGCUGAAAGAUGGACGUCGCGUCCGAUUAGCUAGUUGGUGGGGUAAAGGCCUACCAAGGCGACGAUCGGUAGCCGGACUGAGAGGUUGAACGGCCACAUUGGGACUGAGACACGGCCCAG